RNAcentral lists this long non-coding RNA (1180 nucleotides) under Felis catus (domestic cat). RNAcentral describes it as "lncRNA (ENSFCAG00000052928.1)". The record is from RNAcentral. Lineage: Eukaryota; Metazoa; Chordata; Mammalia; Carnivora; Felidae.
GUGAGGGGGCUGGGGCUCGACACACUGGACCGUAAGGUGCCUGAAGACAGGAGGCCUGCCUCUAACCGUCGCUCGAUUCUGAACCCUCAUGGUGUCUCCUUGGGGUGGGGCGGGGUGGUGACACAGCACCCAAGAAGGGGAACAUAACGCCCGAGAAGGUCAAGCCCUCAUUAUACACACUGGGAGCCCGAGGCUCCGAGAGGGGAGACGACUCACCCAAGGCCACGCAGGGGAGCCACCAGAACUCACGUCUCCCGCUUCCAGCUCAGGGGUCCGGCAGACCGUUCAGGAGCUCCGACUCAGGCUCACGGGGGCCACAGGACACCCCCAGAGGACACAGCACAGCGACAGAAGCCCACUCGUUACCCUGUCAAAUAGAUGAGCCAAAGGUGGCCCAGAGACCUUCACUGACACACAGCUGUCGUCCCCACCCCCUGCCCCCCGCAUGAUGACCACAGGACGGCACUCACAGCUGUGUUCACGGCUCUCAAGUCUCCAGGUUUCAUUCGCGGAGCCAUCAGACCGGGGCAGGACAAGCAUGAUAUAAAUAACAAAUCCCACCCCCUCCCCCCCAGUAAUAAUAAUGCAAUCAACUCCUUUAACCGCCUUAGAGUCAGCAAAGUCUUUUCCCAGACAAAGGUUUGCUUCUCACGAACCCUGUCCCGGAGGGCAGGAGGUCACAGGUGAGAGGCCGGGCCUGCUCAGAUGACCUAGCAGGUCAGGGCCAGAGCUGGGGCUAACCCUGGUCUUCCGAUGCCCGGACAGCCGCUGUGUAUACAGCAGGGCCUGCCGGGUACGGCUUUUGCAACCUGGGAAUCUGCAUAUCAGUAAGCUCUGGGGAAUUCUGGCCACAGGCAGCCUGAGAAACAUCCCUCCCCAGCAUCUGCACGGAAGGAGGUGAGUUUUGCUCACCUCUCCCCCGAAACGGCUGCGGGGGAAGGGGGGCUUGGUUCAUGGUCACUCCCCGUGCCCCUCACUCGGGGCAAUUUAGGGGCGAGGGUUUUUCUCGCAAAGCUGGAGGGAGACAGCUAGGCCUGGAAAUGUGGGUGCUGUAUCUAAUCCUGGGGUGCCCCCCCGAAAUUCACUCUGUUGGGGUUCCUCCCUGGGUGAGGAAAUGAAUUGAGGGUCACGGGUUCUCAACCCUGGAUGCACCUUGGAGUCACCUGGGAGGCUCUAGAAA